This 91-nucleotide transfer RNA is filed under the name Candidatus Bathyarchaeota archaeon. RNAcentral describes it as "tRNA-Pro". The record is from RNAcentral. Lineage: Archaea; Thermoproteati; Candidatus Bathyarchaeota.
GGGGUCGUCUGCUAGUCUGGUCUAGAGCUUGGGAUAGGCUACGUGGCUUGGGCCCACGUGAUCCGGAGUUCAAAUCUCCGCGACCCCACCA